GACGAACGCUGGCGGCGUGCUUAACACAUGCAAGUCGAACGGAAAGGCCCUGCUUUUGUGGGGUGCUCGAGUGGCGAACGGGUGAGUAACAAGUGAGUAACCUGCCCUUGACUUUGGGAUAACUUCAGGAAACUGGGGCUAAUACCGGAUAGGAGCUCCUGCUGCAUGGUGGGGGUUGGAAAGUUUCGGCGGUUGGGGAUGGACUCGCGGCUUAUCAGCUUGUUGGUGGGGUAGUGGCUUACCAAGGCUUUGACGGGUAGCUGGCCUGAGAGGGUGACCGGCCACAUUGGGACUGAGAUACGGCCCAGACUCUUACGGGAGGCAGCAGUGGGGAAUAUUGCACAAUGGGCGGAAGCCUGAUGCAGCAACGCCGCGUGCGGGAUGACGGCCUUCGGGUUGUAAACCGCUUUCGCCUGUGACGAAGCGGGAGUGACGGUAAUGGGUAAAGAAGCACCGGCUAACUACGUG
Molecule: ribosomal RNA, 468 nt
Filed under: uncultured bacterium
Lineage: Bacteria
Description: partial 16S ribosomal RNA
Rfam family: Bacterial small subunit ribosomal RNA
Source: RNAcentral